This is a non-coding RNA of Termitomyces sp. T32_za158, 99 nucleotides long. The record is from the annotation of a GenBank genome assembly. Lineage: Eukaryota; Fungi; Basidiomycota; Agaricomycetes; Agaricales; Lyophyllaceae.
UCCCUCUUAGCUCAGUGGUAGAGCGCGUCACUAGUAUCCCAAUGUCUGUAGAUGAUGUUCAUUAUGACGAGGUCAGUCGUUCAAGUCGGCUAGAGGGAA